RNAcentral lists this ribosomal RNA (420 nucleotides) under uncultured bacterium. RNAcentral describes it as "bacterial SSU rRNA". It matches the Rfam family "Bacterial small subunit ribosomal RNA", at positions 99 to 507 of the family's 1533-position model. The record is from RNAcentral.
CGGACGGGUGAGUAACACGUGGGUAACCUGCCCUAAAGUGGGGAUAACAUUUGGAAACAGAUGCUAAUACCGCAUAAAACCUAACACCGCAUGGUGUAGGGUUGAAAGAUGGUUUCGGCUAUCACUUUAGGAUGGACCCGCGGUGCAUUAGUUAGUUGGUGAGGUAAAGGCUCACCAAGACCGUGAUGCAUAGCCGACCUGAGAGGUAAUCGGCCACACUGGGACUGAGACACGGCCCAGACUCCUACGGGAGGCAGCAGUAGGGAAUCUUUCACAAUGGACGAAAGUCUGAUGGAGCAACGCCGCGUGAGUGAAGAAGGUUUUCGGAUCGUAAAACUCUGUUGUUGGAGAAGAAUGUAUCUGAUAGUAACUGAUCAGGUAGUGACGGUAUCCAACCAGAAAGCCACGGCUAACUACGUG